UUUUAGCCCCGAUUGCAGUGGCAUCCUCUUGUAAGGACGAAGGACGAGCAUGAGAUAGAACGGAAAGCGGGUAUAAUA
Molecule: small RNA, 78 nt
Filed under: Kaistella jeonii
Lineage: Bacteria; Pseudomonadati; Bacteroidota; Flavobacteriia; Flavobacteriales; Weeksellaceae
Description: Chryseobacterium jeonii Flavo-1 RNA
Rfam family: Flavo-1 RNA
Source: RNAcentral